This 315-nucleotide ribosomal RNA is filed under the name uncultured bacterium. RNAcentral's name for it is "bacterial SSU rRNA". It matches the Rfam family "Bacterial small subunit ribosomal RNA", at positions 28 to 334 of the family's 1533-position model. The record is from RNAcentral.
GACGAACGCUGGCGGCGCGCCUAACACAUGCAAGUCGAACGGAGAUAAGGAGGAGCUUGCUCCACCUUAUCUGAGUGGCGGACGGGUGAGUAACGCGUGAGUAACCUGCCUUAAAGAGGGGGAUAACGUCUGGAAACGGACGCUAAUACCGCAUAACAUAUUGUUUUCGCAUGGAGAUGAUAUCAAAGGAGCAAUCCGCUUUAAGAUGGACUCGCGUCCAAUUAGCUAGUUGGUGAGGUAACGGCCCACCAAGGCGACGAUUGGUAGCCGGACUGAGAGGUUGAACGGCCACAUUGGGACUGAGACACGGCCCAG